UACGUAGGUGGCAAGCGUUGUCCGGAUUUACUGGGCGUAAAGAGCGCGCAGGCGGUCGUUCAAGUCGCGUGUGAAAGCCCCCGGCUCAACUGGGGAGGGUCACGCGAUACUGAUCGACUCGAAGGCAGGAGAGGGUAGUGGAAUUCCCGGUGUAGUGGUGAAAUGCGUAGAUAUCGAGAGGAACACCGGUGGCGAAAGCGGCACCCUGGCCGGUUUCUGACGCUGAGGCGCGAAAGCGUGGGUAGCAAACAGG
RNAcentral lists this ribosomal RNA (253 nucleotides) under uncultured bacterium. Its description in RNAcentral is "partial 16S ribosomal RNA". It matches the Rfam family "Bacterial small subunit ribosomal RNA", at positions 524 to 776 of the family's 1533-position model. The record is from RNAcentral.